UAGUUUGAUCCUGGCUCAGGAUAAACGCUGGCGGCGCACAUAAGACAUGCAAGUCGAACGAACUUAACCAUUAGUUUACUAUUGGAGCGGUUAGUGGCGGACUGGUGAGUAACACGUAAGCAACCUGCCUAUCAGAGGGGAACAACAGUUAGAAAUGACUGCUAAUACCGCAUAUGCCUUAGAAUCACAUGGUUCAAAAGGGAAAGGAGCAAUCCGCUGAUAGAUGGGCUUGCGUCUGAUUAGCUAGUUGGUGGGGCAACGGCCUACCAAGGCGACGAUCAGUAGCCGAACUGAGAGGUUGAACGGCCACAUUGGGACUGAGAUACGGCCCAGACUCCUACGGGAGGCAGCAGUCGGGAAUAUUGCGCAAUGGAGGAAACUCUGACGCAGUGACGCCGCGUGCAGGAAGAAGGUUUUCGGAUUGUAAACUGCUUUAGACAGGGAAGAACAAAGACAGUACCUGUAGAAUAAGCUCCGGCUAACUACGUGCCAGCAGCCGCGGUAAUAC
This 508-nucleotide ribosomal RNA is filed under the name uncultured bacterium. RNAcentral's name for it is "bacterial SSU rRNA". It matches the Rfam family "Bacterial small subunit ribosomal RNA", at positions 9 to 526 of the family's 1533-position model. The record is from RNAcentral.